RNAcentral lists this ribosomal RNA (303 nucleotides) under uncultured bacterium. RNAcentral's name for it is "partial 16S ribosomal RNA". It matches the Rfam family "Bacterial small subunit ribosomal RNA", at positions 507 to 807 of the family's 1533-position model. The record is from RNAcentral.
AGCAGUCGCCGCGGGAAUACGAAGGGUGCAAGCGUUAAUCGGAAUUACUGGGCGUAAAGCGUGCGUAGGCGGUGAGUUAAGUCUGCUGUGAAAUCCCCGGGCUCAACCUGGGAAUGGCAGUGGAUACUGGCUCGCUAGAGUGUGUCAGAGGAUGGUGGAAUUCCCGGUGUAGCGGUGAAAUGCGUAGAGAUCGGGAGGAACAUCAGUGGCGAAGGCGGCCAUCUAGGACAACACUGACGCUGAGGCACGAAAGCGUGGGGAGCAAACAGGAUUAGAGACCCCUGUAGUCCCUGUCUCUUAUAC